Molecule: ribosomal RNA, 561 nt
Filed under: Saccharomyces cerevisiae (brewer's yeast)
Lineage: Eukaryota; Fungi; Ascomycota; Saccharomycetes; Saccharomycetales; Saccharomycetaceae
Description: partial large subunit ribosomal RNA
Rfam family: Eukaryotic large subunit ribosomal RNA
Source: RNAcentral
AGCGGAGGAAAAGAAACCAACCGGGAUUGCCUUAGUAACGGCGAGUGAAGCGGCAAAAGCUCAAAUUUGAAAUCUGGUACCUUCGGUGCCCGAGUUGUAAUUUGGAGAGGGCAACUUUGGGGCCGUUCCUUGUCUAUGUUCCUUGGAACAGGACGUCAUAGAGGGUGAGAAUCCCGUGUGGCGAGGAGUGCGGUUCUUUGUAAAGUGCCUUUGAAGAGUCGAGUUGUUUGGGAAUGCAGCUCUAAGUGGGUGGUAAAUUCCAUCUAAAGCUAAAUAUUGGCGAGAGACCGAUAGCGAACAAGUACAGUGAUGGAAAGAUGAAAAGAACUUUGAAAAGAGAGUGAAAAAGUACGUGAAAUUGUUGAAAGGGAAGGGCAUUUGAUCAGACAUGGUGUUUUGUGCCCUUUGUUCCUUGUGGGUAGGGGAAUCUCGCAUUUCACUGGGCCAGCAUCAGUUUUGGUGGCAGGAUAAAUCCAUAGGAAUGUAGCUUGCCUCGGUAAGUAUUAUAGCCUGUGGGAAUACUGCCAGCUGGGACUGAGGACUGCGACGUAAGUCAAGGAU